CGACUACAAUCAAAUAUCGAUACCAGUUUUAGCCUGUCGGCUUGUUGUCGUGUCAGGGGGAUCAACAAGGGA
Molecule: non-coding RNA, 72 nt
Organism: Biomphalaria pfeifferi
Lineage: Eukaryota; Metazoa; Mollusca; Gastropoda; Planorbidae
Source: the annotation of a GenBank genome assembly